RNAcentral lists this ribosomal RNA (253 nucleotides) under uncultured bacterium. Its description in RNAcentral is "partial 16S ribosomal RNA". It matches the Rfam family "Bacterial small subunit ribosomal RNA", at positions 524 to 776 of the family's 1533-position model. The record is from RNAcentral.
UACGGGGGGGGCAAGCGUUGUUCGGAAUUACCGGGCGUAAAGGGCUCGUAGGUGGCCAACUAAGUCAGACGUGAAAUCCCUCAGCUUAACUGGGGAACUGCGUCUGAUACUGGAUGGCUUGAGUUUGGGAGAGGGAUGCGGAAUUCCAGGUGUAGCGGUGAAAUGCGUAGAUAUCUGGAGGAACACCGGUGGCGAAGGCAGCCCCCUGGGUCGACACUGACGCUCAUGCACAAAAGCGUGGGGAGCAAACAGG